This 1544-nucleotide ribosomal RNA is filed under the name Salmonella enterica subsp. enterica serovar Typhimurium str. 14028S. RNAcentral describes it as "16S ribosomal RNA". It matches the Rfam family "Bacterial small subunit ribosomal RNA". The record is from RNAcentral. RNAcentral also lists the same sequence under 2 other names. Lineage: Bacteria; Pseudomonadati; Pseudomonadota; Gammaproteobacteria; Enterobacterales; Enterobacteriaceae.
UUAAAUUGAAGAGUUUGAUCAUGGCUCAGAUUGAACGCUGGCGGCAGGCCUAACACAUGCAAGUCGAACGGUAACAGGAAGCAGCUUGCUGCUUCGCUGACGAGUGGCGGACGGGUGAGUAAUGUCUGGGAAACUGCCUGAUGGAGGGGGAUAACUACUGGAAACGGUGGCUAAUACCGCAUAACGUCGCAAGACCAAAGAGGGGGACCUUCGGGCCUCUUGCCAUCAGAUGUGCCCAGAUGGGAUUAGCUAGUUGGUGAGGUAACGGCUCACCAAGGCGACGAUCCCUAGCUGGUCUGAGAGGAUGACCAGCCACACUGGAACUGAGACACGGUCCAGACUCCUACGGGAGGCAGCAGUGGGGAAUAUUGCACAAUGGGCGCAAGCCUGAUGCAGCCAUGCCGCGUGUAUGAAGAAGGCCUUCGGGUUGUAAAGUACUUUCAGCGGGGAGGAAGGUGUUGUGGUUAAUAACCGCAGCAAUUGACGUUACCCGCAGAAGAAGCACCGGCUAACUCCGUGCCAGCAGCCGCGGUAAUACGGAGGGUGCAAGCGUUAAUCGGAAUUACUGGGCGUAAAGCGCACGCAGGCGGUCUGUCAAGUCGGAUGUGAAAUCCCCGGGCUCAACCUGGGAACUGCAUUCGAAACUGGCAGGCUUGAGUCUUGUAGAGGGGGGUAGAAUUCCAGGUGUAGCGGUGAAAUGCGUAGAGAUCUGGAGGAAUACCGGUGGCGAAGGCGGCCCCCUGGACAAAGACUGACGCUCAGGUGCGAAAGCGUGGGGAGCAAACAGGAUUAGAUACCCUGGUAGUCCACGCCGUAAACGAUGUCUACUUGGAGGUUGUGCCCUUGAGGCGUGGCUUCCGGAGCUAACGCGUUAAGUAGACCGCCUGGGGAGUACGGCCGCAAGGUUAAAACUCAAAUGAAUUGACGGGGGCCCGCACAAGCGGUGGAGCAUGUGGUUUAAUUCGAUGCAACGCGAAGAACCUUACCUGGUCUUGACAUCCACAGAACUUUCCAGAGAUGGAUUGGUGCCUUCGGGAACUGUGAGACAGGUGCUGCAUGGCUGUCGUCAGCUCGUGUUGUGAAAUGUUGGGUUAAGUCCCGCAACGAGCGCAACCCUUAUCCUUUGUUGCCAGCGGUUAGGCCGGGAACUCAAAGGAGACUGCCAGUGAUAAACUGGAGGAAGGUGGGGAUGACGUCAAGUCAUCAUGGCCCUUACGACCAGGGCUACACACGUGCUACAAUGGCGCAUACAAAGAGAAGCGACCUCGCGAGAGCAAGCGGACCUCAUAAAGUGCGUCGUAGUCCGGAUUGGAGUCUGCAACUCGACUCCAUGAAGUCGGAAUCGCUAGUAAUCGUGGAUCAGAAUGCCACGGUGAAUACGUUCCCGGGCCUUGUACACACCGCCCGUCACACCAUGGGAGUGGGUUGCAAAAGAAGUAGGUAGCUUAACCUUCGGGAGGGCGCUUACCACUUUGUGAUUCAUGACUGGGGUGAAGUCGUAACAAGGUAACCGUAGGGGAACCUGCGGUUGGAUCACCUCCUUA